GGUGGACACAAAACACCUGCGUUCAAGUGGAUCAGACUGUUUAAAACGACAUAAACAGAUAUAAUGCGAUCCAGCGCAGAGUCCAGGAAACACUGUCUUAGCGCCGCUCUGUUACUGUGCGGGGUGGAGGCAGCUGUUGUUGGCACGGUGACUGUAAACAUGCGUCAGUUGUCAAACACGUGCCAUAAAAGCCUCAAUGUUUCAUAAGCAGCUCCCUUAAAAGAGAAGUGGCUCCGCAACAGCAGGCUCUGUGUUUACUGCUCUCUUCAAGGACACAUAAUACACGAAGGUGACUCAUCCACAAUGGCAAAACACAGCGUUAGCCUUGUGCUUGCCAUAGUGCUGGCAUCAACCCUCUUCAUCCUCACUAUGGUGCUCUCUGCUCUGGCAGCACCGGGAAUACACCCUUUUUUGUCGAGCACCCGUAACAUUUCAGAUGAGUUUGUGACUCAGAUCACACCUUCAGGAUGGAC
Molecule: long non-coding RNA, 473 nt
Organism: Parambassis ranga (Indian glassy fish)
Lineage: Eukaryota; Metazoa; Chordata; Actinopteri; Ambassidae
Source: Ensembl